GUGAGUCCCAUGCAAAGGACAAUUGCCACCCAGUAGCAAUUAUCACCUGCUCACUAAACUGGGUCCAGUUACUUUUAACUCUCAGAGAAGAGAAAAGUCGAGGGUGAGACUGAAUUACACUUGGCCAUCUCCAGAGGAUGACCAUCUGCGGUUCAAUAAGGGUUCAGCUAAAUAAAACAGGACUGGCAGGUCUGCUGAGAGCUGAAGUAAGGUCCCCAGAAUAUGAUGUAACUGAAAACGUGUGAAAAAGAAUGAAGGGAAACUAAGAAGACAGUACUGAAUAAGUUCCAGUUCCAGUGCAAAGAAAUUACAGAAAAGAAGCCACAUCUAAACUAUCAAAUGAGAAAUAUAAAGACUUAUCACUUUGGACUUCUGUGGCCUCAAAGACAUAUAUGGAGAUCUUUUUUUAAGUUUCUGCUUUCUUGGAAAGUUAACUCCUUACAAACCUAAAAGAGAAGUUAGUGAUUCUUGGAGAAAAGUGGACAAUGAAAGCCAUCAUAUCAAAUACCUCUG
Molecule: long non-coding RNA, 513 nt
Filed under: Capra hircus (goat)
Lineage: Eukaryota; Metazoa; Chordata; Mammalia; Artiodactyla; Bovidae
Description: lncRNA (ENSCHIG00000002597.1)
Source: RNAcentral